This is a long non-coding RNA of Cydia fagiglandana, 225 nucleotides long. RefSeq lists it as uncharacterized. The transcript has 2 exons. The record is from RefSeq and is a predicted model, not a curated record. NCBI's taxonomy places the organism in Eukaryota, Metazoa, Arthropoda, Insecta, Lepidoptera, Tortricidae.
UGAUGCGGAGGGAUGACAGUUAUGUGACGAAAAAGGUAUUACGAAUGAAUGUGGAGGGAAGUAACGGGAGAGGAAAUCCGAGAAAAAGGUGGAUGGACUGUGUGAGAGAUGAUAUGAAACGAACGCAAGUGAAUGAUGAGAUGACGGGCGAGAGAGAGGUAUGGAAGAAAAAGACAUGCUGCGCCGACACCAAAUGAAUGGGAUAAGGGCAAGCGAAUGAUGAUU